AAGGUGCUUUCUGUAUUAAGGCCUUAAAAAAUGUCAGCAACCUUAGUAUUGCUCAAAUGUAGUUUUUGAGUCUUUAACCUGUGUGCAAUUGUGUGCAUUGCGCAUGAUUAUUAUUGUAGCGCAUUAUUUUCGAGUCUCAUUCUUCUUCGUUCUUUUUUUGACUUGGUUAUCGAUUCCUCUCAGCUGAUGCUCUACUGCCUGAACAUGCUUGGUCUCCAAUAGCAGAGCCGGCAAGCUGGACGCCCCAUACUGGA
Sander lucioperca (pikeperch) is the source of this 254-nucleotide long non-coding RNA. RefSeq lists it as uncharacterized. The transcript has 3 exons. NCBI's taxonomy places the organism in Eukaryota, Metazoa, Chordata, Actinopteri, Perciformes, Percidae. The record is from RefSeq and is a predicted model, not a curated record.